Long non-coding RNA from Vidua chalybeata, 1220 nucleotides. RefSeq lists it as uncharacterized. Lineage: Eukaryota; Metazoa; Chordata; Aves; Passeriformes; Viduidae. The record is from RefSeq and is a predicted model, not a curated record. The transcript has 5 exons.
ACCUUCCUGGUCUAGUGGAAGAUGUGCCUGUUCCUGGCAGGGGGUGGAAUGAGAUGGGCUUUAAGGUCAUUCCAACCAAAUUCUACAAGUGUGGGGUCUCUCUGGACUUAACAACAUCUAGUUUGUAGCUCUUAGAGGCUGUUUUUCCUUUUCACCUGGUGAGGUUUAUGGCAAAAGCUGAUUGGAUUUGUCUGCAGCUCCCAAAAUCUAAGGAAGAGGCAGAAUAAUAUUUUCAUUCAGGAGCAUGUAUUAAAUCCAGAAUUCAUGAUAGUACCAUCUAGUCCAAUCCAAACAGGGAUAAAUACCCACGGAAGGAAGAAGUGAGGCAGAGCUAAAGCAGAGGUCCAGGGAACUGAAGACACGGGACCAGGUAGUGGUGGGAUCAGGAGAAGCAGCCUGUGCCAGCCCUUGGAGCAGGGACAGCCCCUGCAGCAGCUCCAGCUGCACCCCCUGAUGGAUCCCAGCAGGCAGAGUCAAUGACUGACACACGUGCUGGGGACCAGCUGGACCCUUAAGCACCCAGGACCAUGGAAUCACAGAAUCAUGGAAUGGCUUGGGUGGGAAGGGAAUUCAAAGCCCAGUGUCACCCUCUGCCACGACAGGACACCUCCCACUAGCCCAGGCUGGUCCAAGCCCUGUCCCACCUGGCCUGGACACUUCCAAGGAUGGGAAGGAGCAUUGAAACAUUGGGGCGGAAGAGCAGAGCAGCCAAGGAGCCUCAAGCACAGGCUCAGUGAGAGGGACAAUAGCUGAGUGGAGCUUCUUCCUGGGAAGUCCUCUUAGAAAUGGAGAAAACAAACACCAGUGCAGUCGUCUGAAGAAACCUUUCCCACAGGAUGAGGCGCCAACGCUUCCUCCUGUCUGUCCUGCAGAGUGAAAAGUGAACAGUGUGAUUUCCUGAGGGACAUUGCCAUCCAUGGAGAGGUUGUGUCAGCCUUGAACAAUUCCUGCUCUAGCAUCUGCAUGGCCAACAAAGCCCAUGUGAUGUCAGAAAGUGAUCCCAUUGUAGACUCUGCUGUGUAACAACAAAAUAUAUAACAGAUCAAAGAGAUUUUAUAAGCUUUGUAGCAACAAAAUAUAUGACACAUUAAAGAGAUUUUAUAAGCUUCACUCGAACUUCUAAGUUUUAUAAAGUAAGUUCUCCCAUCCUCUGCCCAAUUGUUUUGCUCUGACAAGUUACAUUUUCCUGCAGUCAUAUUCCAGUAUUUUAACCUGAAACU